This 254-nucleotide ribosomal RNA is filed under the name uncultured bacterium. Its description in RNAcentral is "partial 16S ribosomal RNA". It matches the Rfam family "Bacterial small subunit ribosomal RNA", at positions 524 to 776 of the family's 1533-position model. The record is from RNAcentral.
GACGAACCGUGCGAACGUUAUUCGGAAUCACUGGGCUUAAAGCGCGUGUAGGCGGGACGGCGCGUCGGUCGCUGAAAGCCCCCGGCUCAACCGGGGAAGCGGCGCCGAUACGGCCGACCUGGAGGGACGUAGGGGGGCCUGGAACUUCCGGUGGAGCGGUGAAAUGCGUUGAGAUCGGAAGGAACGCCCGUGGCGAAAGCGAGGCCCUGGACGUCUGCUGACGCUGAGACGCGAAAGCCAGGGGAGCGAACGGG